UCAGGAUGAACGCUAGCGGGAGGCUAACACAUGCAAGUCGAGGGGCAGCAUAGGGUAGCAAUACUCUGAUGGCGACCGGCAAACGGGUGAGUAACGCGUAUGUAACCUACCCUGUACAGGGGGAUAACCCGGAGAAAUUCGGACUAAUAUCCCAUAACAAGUAUCCGGGGGCAUCUUUGGAUAUUUAAAGUUCCGGCGGUACGGGAUGGGCAUGCGUAACAUUAGCUAGUGGUAAGGUAACGGCUUACCAAGGCUUUGAUGUUUAGGGGUCCUGAGAGGGUGGUCCCCCACACUGGUACUGAGACACGGACCAGACUCCUACGGGAGGCAGCAGUGAGGAAUAUUGGUCAAUGGGCGCAAGCCUGAACCAGCCAUCCCGCGUGCAGGAAAAGACGGCGCUAUGCGUUGUAAACUGCUUUUCCAGGGAGAGAAACUUGCGCACGUGUUGCGCAAUUGACGGUACCCUGGGAAUAAGCAUCGGCUAACUCCGUGCCAGCAGCGGC
This 503-nucleotide ribosomal RNA is filed under the name uncultured bacterium. Its description in RNAcentral is "bacterial SSU rRNA". It matches the Rfam family "Bacterial small subunit ribosomal RNA", at positions 24 to 518 of the family's 1533-position model. The record is from RNAcentral.